Molecule: ribosomal RNA, 253 nt
Filed under: uncultured bacterium
Lineage: Bacteria
Description: partial 16S ribosomal RNA
Rfam family: Bacterial small subunit ribosomal RNA
Source: RNAcentral
UACGGAGGGUGCAAGCGUUAUCCGGAUUCACUGGGUUUAAAGGGUGCGUAGGUGGGCAGGUAAGUCAGUGGUGAAAUCUCCGGGCUUAACCCGGAAACUGCCAUUGAUACUAUCAGUCUUGAAUACCGUGGAGGUAAGCGGAAUAUGUCAUGUAGCGGUGAAAUGCUUAGAUAUGACAUAGAACACCAAUUGCGAAGGCAGCUUACUACACAGUAAUUGACACUGAGGCACGAAAGCGUGGGGAUCAAACAGG